This 487-nucleotide ribosomal RNA is filed under the name uncultured bacterium. RNAcentral's name for it is "bacterial SSU rRNA". It matches the Rfam family "Bacterial small subunit ribosomal RNA", at positions 29 to 507 of the family's 1533-position model. The record is from RNAcentral.
AUGAACGCUAGCGGCAGGCUUAAUACAUGCAAGUCGAGGGGCAGCAGCUUUGUAGCAAUACAGGGGCUGGCGACCGGCAAACGGGUGCGGAACACGUACGCAACCUUCCUCUAACUGGAAGAUAGCCCACCGAAAGGUGGAUUAAUACUCCAUAACAUAUUGAAGAGGCAUCUCUUUGAUAUUAAAGCUCCGGCGGUUAAAGAUGGGCGUGCGUCUGAUUAGGUAGUUGGCGGGGUAACGGCCCACCAAGCCUUCGAUCAGUAGCUGAUGUGAGAGCAUGAUCAGCCACACGGGCACUGAGACACGGGCCCGACUCCUACGGGAGGCAGCAGUAAGGAAUAUUGGUCAAUGGACGCAAGUCUGAACCAGCCAUGCCGCGUGCAGGAAGAAGGCCUUCUGGGUUGUAAACUGCUUUUUAUCUGGGGAUAAAAAGGCCUUGCGAGGCAAACUGAAGGUACCAGAUGAAUAAGCCACGGCUAACUACGUG